Molecule: long non-coding RNA, 228 nt
Filed under: Panax ginseng (ginseng)
Lineage: Eukaryota; Viridiplantae; Streptophyta; Magnoliopsida; Apiales; Araliaceae
Description: long non-coding RNA (PGIN_LNC007726)
Source: RNAcentral
UCCAUCAUCAACUUCACUUUCUCUAUUAAUCCAUUGCUUAAUAAAUCUAUCUAUUCAUAUAAUCCUCAAUCCUCCAUUCACAACUUUGCUAUACCCCAGUUCAUCAAACUUACCACACAUUAUGAGUUCAGGAACUUGCCACAAUCAUAUGAGUUUAAGAACUUAUCCUAGUCAGACCAUAGACGUCCAUUCGCUAAGGGGUUCAAAACAUACCAUAUGAUUAUGAGU